This is a non-coding RNA of Danio rerio (zebrafish), 853 nucleotides long. The record is from RefSeq and is a predicted model, not a curated record. NCBI's taxonomy places the organism in Eukaryota, Metazoa, Chordata, Actinopteri, Cypriniformes, Danionidae.
CAGGAGAAGGAAAUUAAGUUAAUGAUUUCGUGCCAGUCUAACGUGCAAAGAGCUGUUCGCCUCGAGCGUUUACUCUCUGUGAGAGAGCGAAAGAUUAACCACACCGACUGCAUGGACCAAUUACAGACUCGAACCCUGUCGUCUACAGAUCCUACAGUCCACAGAUGUACAUCGUUAGCGAGCUAACUAGACAAACUGGUAACAGCGGGAAAGCCGUCCAAACGAAGACCAGAAGAGUUGAAAAGAUCCUGGAUGAUAAGGAUCUGACCCUCAACUGCAGAUGACUGAAGACAAAAAAAAAAAAAUAAACUAUACAUUUUCUGAUUGCUCUGAGAGUUAAAAUGAAGAUAACACUGUGCACAUUGAGGCCUCAUGUGUCAAAUCUCUAUUACUGGAUUUGUAAGUUUAUGUUUAAGUUAAAGUUAAGGUUUGUAUUCAAAAAUAUUUUAAAAUGGAUGUUAUAUUAUAUAUGGAUAUUAUAUCAUUUGUCAAUCUAGUGCUUCAACUAAAUUGGUAUUCAACCUAGGCUCAUUCUGAAAUGAGCAUCUGAAAAUGCACUGCUAUAUACAUUUCUGGAGAGCGCCAAAUACAUCCCAGGUGCUACAUUUUUUAUUUUUUUUGCAAUUCCACCAAAGGGCACUGUAUAAGCUUUUUGAGAUCUCAAAUUUCUCUUGCAAGUGCCAUUCAAGCCUGCUUUUCUCGUGUAGAGCUGUCCAUAUGGAGGUAAGCGGUCAGCUGGUAUGUGUGAAAAGGAACAGAUCAUGCCACCCCAUUGUGUUUGUUUUAAAGAUGAAAUGCAGCCAUACUGUAUGUACUUCUGGUGAUCUACAUAAAUGUAUAUAGGGUUACGUUU